AACGUAGGUCCCGAGCGUUAUCCGGAUUUACUGGGCGUAAAGCGUGUUCAGGCGGUCUGGCAAGUCGGGCAUGAAAUCUCUCGGCUCAACCGGGAGGGGUUGUCCGAUACUGCUGGACUGGAGGGCAGCAGAGGGUGGUGGAAUUCCGGGUGUAGUGGUGAAAUGCGUAGAUAUCCGGAGGAACACCAGUGGCGAAGGCGGCCACCUGGGCUGUACCUGACGCUAACACACGAAAGCUAGGGGAGCGAACGGG
Molecule: ribosomal RNA, 253 nt
Filed under: uncultured bacterium
Lineage: Bacteria
Description: partial 16S ribosomal RNA
Rfam family: Bacterial small subunit ribosomal RNA
Source: RNAcentral